CCUACGGGAGGCAGCAGUGGGGAAUAUUGGACAAUGGGCGAAAGCCUGAUCCAGCCAUGCGCGUGUGUGAAGAAGGCUUUCGGGUUGUAAAGCACUUUCAGUGGGGAAGAAAUCCUCGGGGCCAAUACCUCCGAGGGAGGACAUCACCCACAGAAGAAGCACCGGCUAACUCCGUGCCAGCAGCCGCG
This 188-nucleotide ribosomal RNA is filed under the name uncultured bacterium. RNAcentral's name for it is "partial 16S ribosomal RNA". It matches the Rfam family "Bacterial small subunit ribosomal RNA", at positions 338 to 519 of the family's 1533-position model. The record is from RNAcentral.